UUAAGCGACUAAGCGUACACGGUGGAUGCCCUGGCAGUCAGAGGCGAUGAAGGACGUGCUAAUCUGCGAUAAGCGUCGGUAAGGUGAUAUGAACCGUUAUAACCGGCGAUUUCCGAAUGGGGAAACCCAGUGUGAUUCGUCACACUAUCAUUAACUGAAUCCAUAGGUUAAUGAGGCGAACCGGGGGAACUGAAACAUCUAAGUACCCCGAGGAAAAGAAAUCAACCGAGAUUCCCCCAGUAGCGGCGAGCGAACGGGGAGGAGCCCAGAGCCUGAAUCAGUGUGUGUUAGUGGAAGCGUCUGGAAAGGCGCGCGAUACAGGGUGACAGCCCCGUACACAAAAAUGCACAUGCUGUGAGCUCGAUGAGUAGGGCGGGACACGUGGUAUCCUGUCUGAAUAUGGGGGGACCAUCCUCCAAGGCUAAAUACUCCUGACUGACCGAUAGUGAACCAGUACCGUGAGGGAAAGGCGAAAAGAACCCCGGCGAGGGGAGUGAAAAAGAACCUGAAACCGUGUACGUACAAGCAGUGGGAGCACGCUUAGGCGUGUGACUGCGUACCUUUUGUAUAAUGGGUCAGCGACUUAUAUUCUGUAGCAAGGUUAACCGAAUAGGGGAGCCGAAGGGAAACCGAGUCUUAACUGGGCGUUAAGUUGCAGGGUAUAGACCCGAAACCCGGUGAUCUAGCCAUGGGCAGGUUGAAGGUUGGGUAACACUAACUGGAGGACCGAACCGACUAAUGUUGAAAAAUUAGCGGAUGACUUGUGGCUGGGGGUGAAAGGCCAAUCAAACCGGGAGAUAGCUGGUUCUCCCCGAAAGCUAUUUAGGUAGCGCCUCGUGAAUUCAUCUCCGGGGGUAGAGCACUGUUUCGGCAAGGGGGUCAUCCCGACUUACCAACCCGAUGCAAACUGCGAAUACCGGAGAAUGUUAUCACGGGAGACACACGGCGGGUGCUAACGUCCGUCGUGAAGAGGGAAACAACCCAGACCGCCAGCUAAGGUCCCAAAGUCAUGGUUAAGUGGGAAACGAUGUGGGAAGGCCCAGACAGCCAGGAUGUUGGCUUAGAAGCAGCCAUCAUUUAAAGAAAGCGUAAUAGCUCACUGGUCGAGUCGGCCUGCGCGGAAGAUGUAACGGGGCUAAACCAUGCACCGAAGCUGCGGCAGCGACGCUGAUGCGUUGUUGGGUAGGGGAGCGUUCUGUAAGCCUGCGAAGGUGUGCUGUGAGGCAUGCUGGAGGUAUCAGAAGUGCGAAUGCUGACAUAAGUAACGAUAAAGCGGGUGAAAAGCCCGCUCGCCGGAAGACCAAGGGUUCCUGUCCAACGUUAAUCGGGGCAGGGUGAGUCGACCCCUAAGGCGAGGCCGAAAGGCGUAGUCGAUGGGAAACAGGUUAAUAUUCCUGUACUUGGUGUUACUGCGAAGGGGGACGGAGAAGGCUAUGUUGGCCGGGCGACGGUUGUCCCGGUUUAAGCGUGUAGGCUGGUUUUCCAGGCAAAUCCGGAAAAUCAAGGCUGAGGCGUGAUGACGAGGCACUACGGUGCUGAAGCAACAAAUGCCCUGCUUCCAGGAAAAGCCUCUAAGCAUCAGGUAACAUCAAAUCGUACCCCAAACCGACACAGGUGGUCAGGUAGAGAAUACCAAGGCGCUUGAGAGAACUCGGGUGAAGGAACUAGGCAAAAUGGUGCCGUAACUUCGGGAGAAGGCACGCUGAUAUGUAGGUGAAGUCCCUCGCGGAUGGAGCUGAAAUCAGUCGAAGAUACCAGCUGGCUGCAACUGUUUAUUAAAAACACAGCACUGUGCAAACACGAAAGUGGACGUAUACGGUGUGACGCCUGCCCGGUGCCGGAAGGUUAAUUGAUGGGGUCAGCGCAAGCGAAGCUCUUGAUCGAAGCCCCGGUAAACGGCGGCCGUAACUAUAACGGUCCUAAGGUAGCGAAAUUCCUUGUCGGGUAAGUUCCGACCUGCACGAAUGGCGUAAUGAUGGCCAGGCUGUCUCCACCCGAGACUCAGUGAAAUUGAACUCGCUGUGAAGAUGCAGUGUACCCGCGGCAAGACGGAAAGACCCCGUGAACCUUUACUAUAGCUUGACACUGAACAUUGAGCCUUGAUGUGUAGGAUAGGUGGGAGGCUUGGAAGUGUGGACGCCAGUCUGCAUGGAGCCGACCUUGAAAUACCACCCUUUAAUGUUUGAUGUUCUAACGUGGACCCGUGAUCCGGGUUGCGGACAGUGUCUGGUGGGUAGUUUGACUGGGGCGGUCUCCUCCUAAAGAGUAACGGAGGAGCACGAAGGUUGGCUAAUCCUGGUCGGACAUCAGGAGGUUAGUGCAAUGGCAUAAGCCAGCUUGACUGCGAGCGUGACGGCGCGAGCAGGUGCGAAAGCAGGUCAUAGUGAUCCGGUGGUUCUGAAUGGAAGGGCCAUCGCUCAACGGAUAAAAGGUACUCCGGGGAUAACAGGCUGAUACCGCCCAAGAGUUCAUAUCGACGGCGGUGUUUGGCACCUCGAUGUCGGCUCAUCACAUCCUGGGGCUGAAGUAGGUCCCAAGGGUAUGGCUGUUCGCCAUUUAAAGUGGUACGCGAGCUGGGUUUAGAACGUCGUGAGACAGUUCGGUCCCUAUCUGCCGUGGGCGCUGGAGAACUGAGGGGGGCUGCUCCUAGUACGAGAGGACCGGAGUGGACGCAUCACUGGUGUUCGGGUUGUCAUGCCAAUGGCACUGCCCGGUAGCUAAAUGCGGAAGAGAUAAGUGCUGAAAGCAUCUAAGCACGAAACUUGCCCCGAGAUGAGUUCUCCCUGACUCCUUGAGAGUCCUGAAGGAACGUUGAAGACGACGACGUUGAUAGGCCGGGUGUGUAAGCGCAGCGAUGCGUUGAGCUAACCGGUACUAAUGAACCGUGAGGCUUAACCU
This 2898-nucleotide ribosomal RNA is filed under the name Escherichia coli. RNAcentral describes it as "23S ribosomal RNA". It matches the Rfam family "Bacterial large subunit ribosomal RNA". Lineage: Bacteria; Pseudomonadati; Pseudomonadota; Gammaproteobacteria; Enterobacterales; Enterobacteriaceae. The record is from RNAcentral.